Molecule: ribosomal RNA, 282 nt
Filed under: uncultured bacterium
Lineage: Bacteria
Description: partial 16S ribosomal RNA
Rfam family: Bacterial small subunit ribosomal RNA
Source: RNAcentral
AGGUCCUACGGGGGGCAGCAGUGGGGAAUAUUGCACAAUGGGGGAAACCCUGAUGCAGCGACGCCGCGUGAGCGAAGAAGUAUUUCGGUAUGUAAAGCUCUAUCAGCAGGGAAGAAAAAUGACGGUACCUGAGUAAGAAGCACCGGCUAAAUACGUGCCAGCAGCCGCGGUAAUACGUAUGGUGCAAGCGUUAUCCGGAUUUACUGGGUGUAAAGGGAGCGCAGGUGGCAUGGCAAGCCAGAAGUGAAAACCCGGGGCUUAACCCGGCGGAUUGAUUUUGGA